UACGUAGGGGGCUAGCGUUGUCCGGAAUCAUUGGGCGUAAAGAGCGCGUAGGCGGCUAGAUAAGUCCGGUGUGAAAGUCACAGGCUCAACCUGUGAAUGCCGCUGGAAACUGUCUGGCUAGAGUCCGGAAGGGGCGAGUGGAAUUCCUGGUGUAGCGGUGAAAUGCGCAGAUAUCAGGAGGAACACCAAUGGCGAAGGCAGCUCGCUGGGACGGUACUGACGCUGAUGUGCGAAAGCGUGGGGAGCAAACAGG
RNAcentral lists this ribosomal RNA (253 nucleotides) under uncultured bacterium. Its description in RNAcentral is "partial 16S ribosomal RNA". It matches the Rfam family "Bacterial small subunit ribosomal RNA", at positions 524 to 776 of the family's 1533-position model. The record is from RNAcentral.